UACGAACCGUACAAACGUUAUUCGGAAUCACUGGGCUUAAAGGGUGCGUAGGCGGCCAUGUAAGUGAGGUGUGAAAUCCCUCGGCUCAACCGAGGAACUGCGCUUCAUACCGCAUGGCUUGAGGGAGACAGGGGUAAGCGGAACUGAUGGUGGAGCGGUGAAAUGCGUUGAUAUCAUCAGGAACACCGGUGGCGAAAGCGGCUUACUGGGUCUCUUCUGACGCUGAGGUACGAAAGCUAGGGGAGCGAACGGG
Molecule: ribosomal RNA, 253 nt
Filed under: uncultured bacterium
Lineage: Bacteria
Description: partial 16S ribosomal RNA
Rfam family: Bacterial small subunit ribosomal RNA
Source: RNAcentral